AGAGUUUGAUCCUGGCUCAGGACGAACGCUGGCGGCGUGCUUAACACAUGCAAGUCGAACGAGAUUCACUCAGUCGCAAGACUGAGGAAGAUCUAGUGGCGAACGGGUGCGUAACACGUGAGGAACCUAUCCCAGUCUCUGGAAUAACAGGUGGAAACACCUGCUAAUACUGGAUGCCGCUGGACCGCCGCAUGGUGGACCAACGAAAGAUUUAUCGGAUUGGGAGGGCCUCGCGGCCUAUCAGCUUGUUGGUGAGGUAACGGCUCACCAAGGCGCCGACGGGUAGCUGGUCUGAGAGGAUGAUCAGCCACACUGGGACUGAGACACGGCCCAGACUCCUACGGGAGGCAGCAGUGGGGAAUCUUGCACAAUGGGCGAAAGCCUGAUGCAGCAACGCCGCGUGCGGGAAGAAGGCCCUAGGGUUGUAAACCGCUUUCAGCAGGGAAGAAAAUGACGGUACCUGCAGAAGAAGGUGCGGCCAACUACGUGCCAGCAGCCGCGGUGACACGUAGGCACCAAGCGUUGUCCGGAUUUAUUGGGCGUAAAGAGCUCGUAGGCGGUUCGGUAAGUCGGGUGUGAAAACUCUGGGCUCAACCCAGAGACGCCACCCGAUACUGCUGUGACUAGAGUGCGGUAGGGGAGCGGGGAAUUCCUGGUGUAGCGGUGAAAUGCGCAGAUAUCAGGAGGAACACCAGUGGCGAAGGCGCCGCUCUGGGCCGUGACUGACGCUGAGGAGCGAAAGCGUGGGUAGCAAACAGGAUUAGAUACCCUGGUAGUCCACGCCGUAAACGUUGGGCACUAGUGCGGGUCUCAACCAACGAGAUCCGCGCCGUCGCUAACGCAUUAAGUGCCCCGCCUGGGGAGUACGGUCGCAAGACUAAAACUCAAAGGAAUUGACGGGGCC
This 904-nucleotide ribosomal RNA is filed under the name uncultured Actinomycetes bacterium. RNAcentral describes it as "bacterial SSU rRNA". It matches the Rfam family "Bacterial small subunit ribosomal RNA", at positions 8 to 920 of the family's 1533-position model. Lineage: Bacteria; Bacillati; Actinomycetota; Actinomycetes. The record is from RNAcentral.